ACGCACCAUUGUACGUGCGUUAGCCUUCUCCCACUUUGCACAGAGUGUCAGCUAUACUGUAUUUUUAUCUGGGUUUUUUCACUUCAUAUUUGCUCCCAAAUGCUGAUACUCCGUGGGAAUGCAUAAAGUAGGUUUCCAGGGAUGGCAAGGAGGAGAAACAUGAUGGACACCAUAGAACCAGAAAUCAACUUUGAAAAGUGCUACACAUCCUGGCUAAUAAUAAAAGACGUUACUGUGCAUCAUCCAGAAAGUGGGGUGGCACCUGCUGGUGGUAAGAUGCACUGCACGCUAGACGUGACAACAUGAUUUCCCAGAGUGACGCGUUCACUGAUUUGGGCAAAAUGCGUACCUGUCAGCGUUUGCAUUUGAAAAUAAGGGAAACUCAUUUGCAAGAAAAACUCUCUGGCUGGGGGUGAUCUGACUGCGCUGCACCAUUGUCCUCGCAGACCGCUGUCGCUCAAGUGACUUUUAAAGUAAAGAUAUUACUGCAGGUUUAGUCUGCAAUGAUAAAAAAAUACUUUUGUAAAUAACUAAAUACAAUUUCAAGUAAAUGCAUAUCAGGUUUGGAAAUAUGGGCCAUUAUUUUAUUUAAAAAAUAAUAUAGUUUGAAGUUUUUGCAUGUUUAUGUUGUAUUUGCGAGUGUCCCACUUUGUUUGACAGUCCUUGAACGCACCAUUGUACGUGCGCUAGCCUUCUCCCGCUCUGCACAGUGUCAGCUAUACUGUAUUUUUAUCGGGGUUUUUUCACUUCAUAUUUGCUCCCAAAUGCUGAUACUCCGUGGGAAUACAUAAAGGUAAAGUUUGAUGACGUUAUUGAGUGCAAAUGUGUAUAUUUGUUGUGUGGACAGCUUCCGAGUUAUUCACGCUAGCAUCAACAUCAAGCAGCGGCGCGAUAAUCUUCUCUCUGAAAAACAAACUCCAAGCUUAUAGUGGUGGAUGGUGGGUCUGUAUUCACUCUGUGCUUUUAAUUUGAUGUUGAUCCUGUCUUAGUUUUACACAAUACAUACAAAAUAGAUAAAUUACAUCGCUAACCCCCCCCGUGGGAACACGAGCCGGGCCGUGGGUCCAAAAAGGUUGGGGACCACUGUGUUACAGCAUUGGUGUGUUUCAUCAUGUUUGAAACUUGGCUUCAAAACACACAUUUACAUUUGUACGAGUUAUCAAACUAUUCCUUUUAAUUGUUCAUGCACCUUAUUGACUUAUUGAAAUAUUCCACUUCCACAACAAACAUAUCUGCAAAGAGUCAUGAUAAAACAUCUUUUCGGGAAUACAAAAAUGAGACAAAUAAAAGGGGGGGAGAGAAACAGAAAUCGGGACUGGUUGUUGGGAUAACAUCACCGUGUGUUUAGCCUGCACAUGUGUGUGUUGUAUCAUGCAGGGACACAAAAUAUCCAGCAGUGACAUGUCAAUGUUGCCCUCAGGAGGACAAUUAGUAUUACGUACUAAAAUCAAAUAACAAAUACUUUGCUUACGUUUUUUUUCCUGCAAGUGAAAAAGUGAUGCGUGUGCUCGCCAGAGGCUUCAUUCUACAUCUACUGAGGAUGUAACCAUGUUCACAAAGACGGUGCACUUCAACAACAACAAAAGCUAGUGCUGCUUUGUUUUGUUUUUAAAUGGUGAGCAACCCGACUGCAACUGCCUUCAUUUCAAGAGUCCUUUCAGGAGAGCCCUUGACGUUCUUCUAGUCUACAUCUUUUACUGCAUGUGGGUAUCCAUUCUGUGAAGACACACAGCAGACAUGGAAUAUGAAUAUCCUAAAAUGGACAAAUAGUCAAUGACUUAUGGGCAAUUGGUCCCACCUGUGCCCCCGCAAAGAUGAUUUGCUUGAUUGCGGCCAUGUUUUUCGACCAAUCGUCCUCAAAUUUUACACACAUGUGCUUGUCAGUCCCCUAAAGGGCUGUACCAAAUUCUGUGGGGAUUUGGCUAAACACCCUAAAGUUACAGUGGGUGGUUUGUAGAGCGCAUUGGGCGGCCUGAGAAAUUUCAAGUUGAGGGUGAGCGUGUGUUUACUUUUGUCAUUUCUAGCAGUGUAUCCCUCAGUUACAAUGAUGGGGCAAGGGAGCAAUCAGUGGUAUCAGCAUCAUCAUACGGUAUCAGCUAGGUCAGGGGUCGGCAACCUGCGGCUCUUCAGCUUCUGUGUUGUGGCUCCCUUUGCAAUGCUCGAAUAUUUAUUUUAACACCCGAGUGGGGAAA
Molecule: long non-coding RNA, 2192 nt
Organism: Dunckerocampus dactyliophorus (ringed pipefish)
Lineage: Eukaryota; Metazoa; Chordata; Actinopteri; Syngnathiformes; Syngnathidae
Exons: 3
Source: RefSeq, a predicted model, not a curated record